This 418-nucleotide unclassified non-coding RNA is filed under the name Hevea brasiliensis (rubber tree). Lineage: Eukaryota; Viridiplantae; Streptophyta; Magnoliopsida; Malpighiales; Euphorbiaceae. The record is from RNAcentral.
GGAAAGUUGUUUUGUGUGGCAGAUUUUAAGGAUAUAAAACCGUAUAAGCUGGCGGAUCCCAUAAUUAGGAUGGAGGAGGAGCUACCACAUUGCAUGGCUGUGAUUGAACCGCAGUAUACAGUGUCGGGGAACGUUGUGGUGCUGUUGGGAGUAGGAGAUGGGAUUGUGACUGUGGACGAUGAUGAUGUGAGGCAGGUGGAAAGCGACGAUUUGCGGGGGCCAGUGCAGAAACUUGCAGUUUCACAUAAUGGGAGGAUUUUGGCGCGUUUUACGCAUGAUGGGUAUCUUGUGAUGUCAAAUAUGCAGUUUGAUACCAUCUUUGAGUAUCAAUGUGAGGUAAAUAUACAAUUUGUGUAUUGUAUUGUGCAUCAUGUGAUGUGGAAUUGGACUGGUGAAUGCUCGCGAUUUAGGUUUUCAG